UUUAUGGAGAGUUUGAUCCUGGCUCAGGAUGAACGCUGGCGGCGUGCCUAAUACAUGCAAGUCGAGCGAACGGACGAGAAGCUUGCUUCUCUGAUGUUAGCGGCGGACGGGUGAGUAACACGUGGAUAACCUACCUAUAAGACUGGGAUAACUUCGGGAAACCGGAGCUAAUACCGGAUAAUAUUUUGAACCGCAUGGUUCAAAAGUGAAAGACGGUCUUGCUGUCACUUAUAGAUGGAUCCGCGCUGCAUUAGCUAGUUGGUAAGGUAACGGCUUACCAAGGCAACGAUGCAUAGCCGACCUGAGAGGGUGAUCGGCCACACUGGAACUGAGACACGGUCCAGACUCCUACGGGAGGCAGCAGUAGGGAAUCUUCCGCAAUGGGCAAAAGCCUGACGGAGCAACGCCGCGUGAGUGAUGAAGGUCUUCGGAUCGUAAAACU
This 442-nucleotide ribosomal RNA is filed under the name Escherichia coli. RNAcentral's name for it is "bacterial SSU rRNA". It matches the Rfam family "Bacterial small subunit ribosomal RNA", at positions 1 to 432 of the family's 1533-position model. The record is from RNAcentral. Lineage: Bacteria; Pseudomonadati; Pseudomonadota; Gammaproteobacteria; Enterobacterales; Enterobacteriaceae.